UGUGGCUCAGUCGUUAAGUGUUCUUCAGUUCAAUUACUGAUGUCACGAAAAGAAAGAAAAGCAAACCGUCAGAGGAUACGGGGCUGAUGUCAAUAGCUCUGGUGCAGCAGGUGAUAAGUGGUUUUGGAGGGUACCUAAUGCUCAAGUGGGACGAAAGCUCAGGUAUGUGGCCAGAGGAAGGCGCGAGCACCCAGACACAGGAAGAAAACCAAGAUAGCUCAGACUUGAGGAAAGAAGAGCCCCAAUCCAGAGGCGCUCCGGAGAAAGACCAGGAAAGGGCUAGAGGUGCAGGAACCCAGAACCUCCAGAUUGCUCAAGAAUCGCUGGACCGGGCAGUCGGUCAAGCUGCUCUAAGGCGGGGACAAACCCAGAGCUUGAGGGACGGGAGUGAGGGGACUGCAGCCGCUGCACCUUGGCCCCUCCCUCUGCUUCCUUUCUGGGGGGAAAAAAAUUCUCUACAGCCACCUGGGUCUGAUUCCUGGCAGCCCGUGAACAGAUCUCCAGGAUCUGAGCUGAAAGCCAUCGUCGUUGCUACCAACCCCAAGACAUACUAAGGAAGAAAACUACCUGGCAAAAGGUGCAAAUAACACCCACCUCACACUUUAGGGGCACACCAGACUGAAAUGAAGACAAUUCUGGUUUGUGGUGUGUGCCCCAAUAGUGACCAAGUGACCUGUGGGCAGGUUCAGAGGGGCUAAAGAGAAUGAAAAGGAUCCCAGGAAGCAGGAACUUAAAUUGCAAGCCCCCUGAACAAUUUAAGUUUGCCAUCCCAUCUGUAAAAUCCAGCUAACGAUAAUGCCCAAACUGCCACAAAGCAAAGAUCUGGACCAGAAGAUGUUAGAGCCCAAGGACCUGGAGCGUUGGCUCAGCCUGGUGAAGCUGGAAGAGAAGGCUACCAGAACAGGACUAUUUUAAUAAUAGUAAAGACCACAGUUCCAACCAAGCUCAAUUACAAAUGGGAAAGGGUGGAGGCAAAUAUACACCCUUGAAAAAUCGCCCUUUGGCCUCACACGCAAUUCCCAAGUCCCCUGUUUCUCUUCUAUUGUGUAGCCUAUAUAAAUGACCCCUGACCUGGUGAUGGGAACAAAAAUUAUAUUAUUUAUUUAUUUAUUUUGGUACUGGGGAUUGAACCCAGGAGCACUCUACCACUUAGCUGCAUCCCCAACCACCCUCCACCACCACACUUUUUAGACAGGGUCUGGCCAAGUUGCUGAGAACUGUCUCAGUCUUCCAAACUGCUGAGAUUACAGGCAUGCAUCACCACAUCUGGCAAGAAUAAUAUUUAAUAACAGUUAUUAAGUCCUUACUAUGAGCCAGCACUCUUCCUGGUGCCUCUUUAUGUCAAUCAAUACUGAGCAGGAACAAAGGAACAAAUUUUAGCCUUUUUUUCUUUUGGUACUGGGGAUUGAAUAGGGUGUUUUACCACUGAGCCACAUCCCCAUCCCCUUUUGUUUUUAUUUUGAGACAGGAUCUCUAAUGGGUUAGGCCCUGCUAAAUUGCUGAGGCCGGCCUUGAACUUGAGAUCCUCCUGCCUCAGCCUCCAAGUCACUGAGAUUACAGGCAUGCGCCAACAUGCCCAGCCCAUCUUCAUUUUAAAGAAAAUGGAGGCACUAAAAAGUUACAGACUUUGUAGGCUGCUAUAGAGCUAAUAAAGGGCACAGCUGGAGUCUCACAUAAGUAAUAGUUUCUAUCUGGGGACACCAUCUGAUCUUAAUCUUCAGGAUGUAGCCUUUCCUGCACUAUUGUCAAAAAAAAAAAAAACCAAAA
Long non-coding RNA from Marmota monax (woodchuck), 1767 nucleotides. RefSeq lists it as uncharacterized. Lineage: Eukaryota; Metazoa; Chordata; Mammalia; Rodentia; Sciuridae. The record is from RefSeq and is a predicted model, not a curated record. The transcript has 2 exons.